RNAcentral lists this small nuclear RNA (21 nucleotides) under Arabidopsis thaliana (thale cress). RNAcentral's name for it is "snRNA_07360". Lineage: Eukaryota; Viridiplantae; Streptophyta; Magnoliopsida; Brassicales; Brassicaceae. The record is from RNAcentral.
AAUAAAAGUUACAGCUACAGC